GGAUGGAGUAUGGUUUUUGGAAUGUGAAAUUUAUGAUUCUAAUAAAUAUAUAAAUACUUAAAAUUAUAUAAAAAAAUUUUAAAAAUAGUUUCAAACAUAAUUUUUGUUUUUCAAAAAGAAAUUUGGAAAAAAAAUUAAAUAAAAUAUUCGAAAAAAGUUUUUUUUUUUUUAUAAUGUUCGAAUUUGAAAAAUUUUAAUACGAAAACAUAAAAAUUCAAAAAAAAAAUUAUUUUUUUUUAUUUUUUUAUUUUAUUUUUUAUUUUUUUAUUUUAUUUUUUUUUAUUUUUUUUAUUUUUUUAUUUAAAUAAUAAUUUAUUAUAUAUAAAUAACAAUGACAUAAGAGUCUUUUGCCAUUUAAUGAAGAAGGUAUUUUUGAAAACGUCUCAUUAAUAGUGGUAAAAAUGAAAAAUGGUACCAUGAAAAUGGUAAAC
RNAcentral lists this long non-coding RNA (431 nucleotides) under Brassica rapa (field mustard). RNAcentral describes it as "long non-coding RNA (BRAP_LNC002602)". Lineage: Eukaryota; Viridiplantae; Streptophyta; Magnoliopsida; Brassicales; Brassicaceae. The record is from RNAcentral.